This 649-nucleotide ribosomal RNA is filed under the name Foraminifera environmental sample. Its description in RNAcentral is "partial Bacterial large subunit ribosomal RNA". It matches the Rfam family "Bacterial large subunit ribosomal RNA", at positions 2071 to 2706 of the family's 2925-position model. The record is from RNAcentral. Lineage: Eukaryota; Foraminifera.
CGCUAAAGGACAAAAAGACCCUUUGAAGCUUUAUAGGGAUAGAACUUGGGUAACAUCGCGAUCUAAAUUAUCUUAUAAAUGCUACCUUACAUAGAAUCGGGAGUACGGCAGACGUUAUUCUCCCAGCUAAAGUGGUGGAGAUCGCAGGCAAGCUGCUCAGACUUAGACCUCACUCCGUUUGAAACGAUAUAAAUGGUAGACGUUAUUCUAUAGACCACUGUUUAAUUGGGGCGAUGACCUUAUCCACAGCCACCUAAGGUGAACAAAGCGAUACAAGGAUCCUAAAUACUAAUUUGACCAACUAAUAAGUGCAAAGAUACAUGUUUUGCUUAAUGGCCCGGUGAGUCCUUCCCAGUACUUAAAUGCUGUCUUAGUGAGCUUUAAAUUAAUGUACCCGAGUGAAGCUACUCUACGGAUAACAGGCUUAAUUUCCGCAAUAUUUAAGGUCACAUUAUCAAGAAAAAUGCACAUCGAUGUCGGCUUAUCAUCCCAAAAUAGGUAGCUGGAUAAUUGGUGGGAGUGCUCAUCCCGUAAAUCGGUACGUGAGCUGGGUUCAGAACGAUGUAAAUCAGUUUGGUCUAUAUCUUUAAUCAUACACCACAAAUCAUGGCAUUAUUUUCUCAGUACGCAAGGACCAGAAAGAUUAAGC